GACGAACGCUGGCGGCGUGCUUAACACAUGCAAGUCGAACGGAAAGGCCCUGCUUUUGUGGGGUGCUCGAGUGGCGAACGGGUGAGUAACACGUGAGUAACCUGCCCUUGACUUUGGGAUAACUUCAGGAAACUGGGGCUAAUACCGGAUAGGAGCUCCUGCUGCAUGGUGGGGGUUGGAAAGUUUCGGCGGUUGGGGAUGGACUCGCGGCUUAUCAGCUUGUUGGUGGGGUAGUGGCUUACCAAGGCUUUGACGGGUAGCCGGCCUGAGAGGGUGACCGGCCACUUGGGGACGGGGAAGCGGCCCAGACCCCGAGGGGGGGCAGAAGGGGGGAAUUUUGCAAAGUGGGCGGAAGCGUGAUGCAGCACCGCCGGGGGGGGGAGGGGGGCCUUGGGGUUGAAACCCGCUUUCGCCGGUGAAGAGGGGGGAGUGAGGGAAAGGGGUAAAGAAGCACCGGCUAACUAGGGG
Molecule: ribosomal RNA, 468 nt
Filed under: uncultured bacterium
Lineage: Bacteria
Description: partial 16S ribosomal RNA
Rfam family: Bacterial small subunit ribosomal RNA
Source: RNAcentral